UACAGAGGGUGCAAACGUUGCUCGGAAUUACUGGGCGUAAAGGGCUCGUAGGCGGUCAACUAAGUCAGACGUGAAAUCCCUCGGCUUAACCGGGGAACUGCGUCUGAUACUGGAUGGCUUGAGUUUGGGAGAGGGAUGCGGAAUUCCAGGUGUAGCGGUGAAAUGCGUAGAUAUCUGGAGGAACACCGGUGGCGAAGGCGGCAUCCUGGACCGGCAUUGACGCUGAGGCGCGAAAGCCAGGGGAGCAAACGGG
This 253-nucleotide ribosomal RNA is filed under the name uncultured bacterium. Its description in RNAcentral is "partial 16S ribosomal RNA". It matches the Rfam family "Bacterial small subunit ribosomal RNA", at positions 524 to 776 of the family's 1533-position model. The record is from RNAcentral.